AGAGUUUGAUUAUGGCUCAGGAUGAACGCUGGCGGCGUGCUUAACACAUGCAAGUCGAACGGACCUUCGGGUCAGUGGCGGACGGGUGAGUAACGCGUGGGAACCUGCCCUCAGGAGGGGGAUAACGGCUGGAAACAACCGCUAAUACCCCAUAUGCCGAGAGGUGAAAUGAGAUUCGCCUGAGGAUGGGCCCGCGUCUGAUUAGCUAGUUGGUGGGGUAAAGGCCUACCAAGGCGACGAUCAGUAGCUGGUCUGAGAGGAUGAUCAGCCACACUGGGACUGAGACACGGCCCAGACUCCUACGGGAGGCAGCAGUGGGGAAUUUUCCGCAAUGGGCGAAAGCCUGAACCGGAGCAACGCCGCGUGAGGGAUGAAGGCCUCUGGGCUGUAAACCUCUUUUCUCAAGGAAGAAGAACUGACGGUACUUGAGGAAUAAGCCACGGCUAAUUCCGUGCCAGCCGCUGC
Molecule: ribosomal RNA, 465 nt
Filed under: uncultured bacterium
Lineage: Bacteria
Description: bacterial SSU rRNA
Rfam family: Bacterial small subunit ribosomal RNA
Source: RNAcentral